CUUAGGCUGCCAGUCCACCAAAUCGGAGUGAGCUAGCGGAGCAGUGUGCGAAGCUAUAAUCGUGCAAUUGAAUUGCAUGAGCAGAGUUUUUAUGCAAUUUCGUUGGUUGAUUUCACUUUGCACACCGCUCUGCUAGCCCACUCCGCUCUGGUGGACAGGCAGCCUUAU
RNAcentral lists this microRNA precursor (168 nucleotides) under Plutella xylostella (diamondback moth). RNAcentral describes it as "microRNA pxy-mir-8500 precursor". Lineage: Eukaryota; Metazoa; Arthropoda; Insecta; Lepidoptera; Plutellidae. The record is from miRBase by way of RNAcentral.